GAGGGUGUAGCUCAGUGGUAGAGCAUGUGCUUAGCAUGCACGAGGUCCCAGGUUCAGUCCCCAGUACCUCCA
RNAcentral lists this transfer RNA (72 nucleotides) under Camelus bactrianus (Bactrian camel). It matches the Rfam family "tRNA". From Rfam's summary of the family: Transfer RNA (tRNA) molecules are approximately 80 nucleotides in length. Their secondary structure includes four short double-helical elements and three loops (D, anti-codon, and T loops). The record is from Rfam by way of RNAcentral. Lineage: Eukaryota; Metazoa; Chordata; Mammalia; Artiodactyla; Camelidae. RNAcentral also lists the same sequence under 1 other name.